UCCGUGCGAGCUCCACGCAGGACCAUGGGAAUCCCCCACAGAUCUGUGCAAACCCCACACGGGUCCAUGCAAAACCCCACAUGGGUCCGUGCAAAUCCACAUGGGUCUGUGCAAAUCCCACAUGGGUCCAUGUGACCCCACACGGGUCCGUGCAAAACCCCUGUGUGUCCAUGCAAACCCCACAUGGGUCCGUGCAAACCCCACACGGGUCCGUGCAAAACCCCUGCGUGUCCGUGUGAACCCACACGGGUCCGUGCAAAUCCCACACGGGUCUGUGCAAAACCCCUGCAUGUCCAUGUGACCCCACACAGGUCCGUGCAAACCCCACACGGGUCCAUGCAAAACCCCUGCGUGUCCGUGUGACCCCACACAGGUCCAUGUGAACCCCACAUGGGUCCAUGUGAACCCACACGGGUCCGUGCAAAGCCCCUGCAUGUCUGUGCAAACCCCACACGUGUCCGUGCAAACAGCCACGAGUCCGUGCGAGCUCCACGCAGGACCAUGGGAAUCCCCCACGGAUCUGUGCAAACCCCACGUGGGUCUGUGCGACCCCCCCCCCCGUGUGUCCGUGGAAAUGCUCACAUGUCCGUGGGAACACUCAUGUGUCCGUGUGAACACUCACGUGUCCGUGGGAACGCUCACGUGUCCGUGCGAACCCCACGCGGGUUGGUGCCAAACCCGUGCGUGUCCGUGCAAACGCCUCAGCACCUGCGUGGAGAGAGCGGCACACGCAAGCGCCACGCGGAGGGGCACGUACAAGGGACGGGGACACAGAUUGCGCAUGCCAAGGGAUGGGGACACGGGUCACACACACCAAGGGACGGGGACACAGCUCGCACAUGCCAAGGGACGGGGACACGGGUCACACACACCAAGGGACGGGGACACAGCUCGCACAUGCCAAGGGACGGGGACACGGGUCGCACACACCAAGGGAUGGGGACAUGGGUUGCACACGCCAAGGGAUGGGGACACGGGUUGCACAUGCCAAGGACGGGGACACGGGUUGCACAUGCCAAGGGAUGGGGACAAGGGUCGCACACGCCAAGGACAGGGACACGGCUCACACAUGCCAAGGAUGGGGACACGGCUCACACAUGCCAAGGGACACGGACAUGUCUCGCACACGCCAAGGGAUGGGGACACGUGUUGCACAUGCCAAGGGACAGGGACACGGCUCGCACAUGCCAAGGGACACGGACAUGUCUCGCACAUGCCAAGGGAUGGGGACACGUAUUGCACACACCAAGGGACAGGGACACGGCUCGCACACGCCAAGGGAUGGGAACACGUCUUGCACACGCGUGCCGUCUCCGCGCGACCCUUUUCCCUGCCGGCACCUGCCGGGCGGCCCGGCGUCGGGGCGCGUGUGGGGCUGAGCCCCCCGGGGUCCACCCCACACGCGUGUGUGUGUGGGGGGGGGGUCACGCACACGCGUGUUGCUCACGUGUGCACGCACACGCCGGCGCGGCGCCGUCUCCCGGCGCUGCCCGGAGCCGAACAAAGAGCCCCGCUGCCAUCUGCCGCUGCCCCCCCGCCGCUGUGGUGCGCACAAAGGCGUCGCCGUGGGGCCGCCGUGGGGCCGCCGUGGGGCUGGGAGCCCCCCCCCGCCUCCCCCGGCGCANNNNNNNNNNNNNNNNNNNNNNNNNNNNNNNNNNNNNNNNNNNNN
Molecule: long non-coding RNA, 1669 nt
Organism: Apteryx haastii (Great spotted kiwi)
Lineage: Eukaryota; Metazoa; Chordata; Aves; Apterygiformes; Apterygidae
Source: Ensembl